Molecule: ribosomal RNA, 460 nt
Filed under: uncultured bacterium
Lineage: Bacteria
Description: partial 16S ribosomal RNA
Rfam family: Bacterial small subunit ribosomal RNA
Source: RNAcentral
CCUACGGGUGGCAGCAGUGAGGAAUAUUGGUCAAUGGCCGGAAGGCUGAACCAGCCAUGCCGCGUGAAGGUCAGUGCCCUAUGGGCGUUAAACUUCUUUUGUGCGGGAGCAAUAAUGGUCACGUGUGGCCAGACGAGAGUACCGUACGAAUAAGCAUCGGCUAACUCCGUGCCAGCAGCCGCGGUAAUACGGGGGAUGCAAGCGUUAUCCGGAUUUAUUGGGUUUAAAGGGUGCGUAGGCUGUGAGGUAAGUCAGCGGUGAAAUGCCCCCGCUCAACGGGGUGAAGUGCCAUUGAUACUGGCUUGCGGGAAUGCGGAUGCGGUGGGAGGAAGGUGUGGUGUAGCGGUGAAAGGCAGAGAUAUCACACAGAACACCGAUUGCGAAGGAAGCUCACGAAUCCGCGAUUGACGCUGAUGCACGAAAGCGUGGGUAUCAAACAGGAUUAGAUACCCCAGUAGUC